UAAUACCAACUCCCCGAGUGGUCGGGACGAUUAUUGGGCUUAAAGCGUCCGUAGCCGGCCCGGUGUGUCUCUGGUCAAAUCCGGCGUCUCAAGCGCCGGACCGCCGGAGAUACUACCGGGCUAGGGAGCGGGAGAGGCGGGCGGUAUUCCCUGGGUAGGGGUAAAAUCCUAAGAUCCAGGGAGGACCAUCGGUGGCGAAGGCGGCCCGCUAGAACGCGUCCGACGGUGAGGGACGAAAGCUGGGGGAGCGAUCCGGAUUAGAUACCCGGGUAGUCCCAGCCGUAAACGAUGCAGGCUAGGGUGUGUGGACGCCUUAGGGGCGUCCAUGUGCCGAAGGGAAACCGUUAAGCCUGCCGCCUGGGGAGUACGGCCGCAAGGCUGAAACUCUAGGCUGUCUCCGACGGCUGGGGGCUGUCCUAGGGCAGCAUACUUAAAGGAAUUGGCGGGGGAGCACCACAAGGGGUGGAGCCUG
This 472-nucleotide ribosomal RNA is filed under the name uncultured archaeon. Its description in RNAcentral is "bacterial SSU rRNA". It matches the Rfam family "Archaeal small subunit ribosomal RNA", at positions 471 to 897 of the family's 1478-position model. The record is from RNAcentral.